Long non-coding RNA from Brassica napus (rape), 1588 nucleotides. RefSeq lists it as uncharacterized. NCBI's taxonomy places the organism in Eukaryota, Viridiplantae, Streptophyta, Magnoliopsida, Brassicales, Brassicaceae. The transcript has 3 exons. The record is from RefSeq and is a predicted model, not a curated record.
GGGCCAAAAUAAUUGAGUGGUCCUCAACUUCCAAUGAACUGAAAAUUGGACCUUCUAUGUUAACAAGUGUGUUAGCAGCACGCGUCAUGGGACCUACAGAGUGGCUUUUGAAUCACGAAAUUGAUGCUAUGAUGUACUUAUUCACUGAGAGGACUACUUUGCGACGAUGGGAACCAAGUAAAGUAGCAUUCAUGAGCUGCAUGUUCAGUAAUCAAAUGAAGACCUCUUUCGAAGAGUUUCGGAAGGACAAGAAGAAAUUCAAAGUAUCAGAACUGCUUCACCGGUACGGCAUUGGUGAACUUCCAGCACACGGACGAACAGGACUGAUGUGGGAUCUUGACGUUACACGUAUGUAUGUGCCUCUAAAUGUCGGUAAACACUAGAUCUCCAUGUGUGUCAACUUUGUUUCUCGGUCGAUAGAGGUCUUUGACUGUGAGGGAUUGAAACACAACAAGGAAGUGGAGCCAUUUGCCUUUCUCAUCCCUAGAAUUGUCAAAUCUGUUCCCUCUUCAAAGAGUCGGCAGCAACUCAAGGUCAAGCAAUAUAAUUUCAGUUACGCCCCAAUGCCCUACUUACUAAACAAGAGUAGCAGUGAUUGUGGAGUAUAUGCCUUGAAGCACAUUGAAUGUCAUCUUUUAGGCUUGGACUUCUCCCUCGUGAAUGACAACAACAUUCGAGAAACGCGCCAAAAGAUUGCUUACGACCUAUGGGAAGCUGCCAAUGAUCCUGAGCUUAUUUUGAGAAUGGCACAAUACACUCCUCCAAAGACGAUCACAAAUCCUCUAGUGGAACUUGAUUGAAGUUCUUUCGUUUAUGACUUGUUAAGGAAGUAGGCUGUUAUUGGCUCUCUUAUUUGACUCUUGUAUUUGAUUCUUGUAGUUACUCUUUAUUUUUUACUUUAUUUGAAACAUUUAGUUGCUCGAUUUAACUGUUGUGACAAUCUUUAUCAACCCCUAAUAUUCCCUAAAUGAGUGGUAUGCGAAGACAAUCCUUAUCAACCCCUAAAUAUUCCCUAUCUAUACCCUAUUUGACACUAAAGUAAGACAAACCAUUUGAAACCUUAUAUAUGCCCUAAAUGCCACUAAAGUAUGACAAACCAUUUGAACCCCUAUCUAUGCCCUAAAUGCUACUAAAGUAUGACAAACGAUGUAAACCCAAUGAAUCCACACAAACCUUAUAAAUCACAAAAAAAUCUUAAUAAUCAAGACAAAUCUUAAUAAUCAAAACACAUACAAGUUUACCCUAAAAUCCAACCCGAGUGGAAGAAACGUUUGACCUAAAAAAAUCUUAUAUAAUACCAUCAAAUGGUCUGAAACCCUACAUAUUUCAUCGUUUGUUUCUCCUACUUCUCGAAAAAAAACCUCUCGUUCCUUCUCAACAAAGAAUGACGAACAUGAAUCACAAUGAAGGAUCCAUUCCAGAUGCUGGUGUGGAAAGGGGAUUGUCACAUAUGUUUCAAAAAUAGAGGAGAACCCAUAUAGACGUUUCUUCAGAUGCGAGAUUGGUAUACAGGUAAAUCUGUAAUUACUUAUUCAUCAUUAUUCAAUAUGAUCAGAGAAUAAACAGAUGUGAGAUUGACUUGUUUUGU